GCCCGCGUUGUCUAAUGGCUAUGACGUCAGACUUCUACAUCUCGGUCUGAGUGUAUCUGGAGGUUGCGGGUUCGAGUCCCGCCGUGGGUU
Molecule: non-coding RNA, 90 nt
Organism: Marasmius sp. AFHP31
Lineage: Eukaryota; Fungi; Basidiomycota; Agaricomycetes; Agaricales; Marasmiaceae
Source: the annotation of a GenBank genome assembly